CCUACGGGAGGCAGCAGUGGGGAAUAUUGCACAAUGGGCGCAAGCCUGAUGCAGCCAUGCCGCGUGUGUGAAGAAGGCCUUCGGGUUGUAAAGCACUUUCAGCGGGGAGGAAGGCGGUGAGGUUAAUAACCUCAUCGAUUGACGUUACCCGCAGAAGAAGCACCGGCUAACUCCGUGCCAGCAGCCGCGGUAAUACGGAGGGUGCAAGCGUUAAUCGGAAUUACUGGGCGUAAAGCGCACGCAGGCGGUCUGUCAAGUCGGAUGUGAAAUCCCCGGGCUCAACCUGGGAACUGCAUUCGAAACUGGCAGGCUAGAGUCUUGUAGAGGGGGGUAGAAUUCCAGGCGUAGCGGUGAAAUGCGUAGAGAUCUGAAGGAAUACCGGUGGCGAAGGCGGCCCCCUGGACAAAGACUGACGCUCAGGUGCGAAAGCGUGGGGAGCAAACAGGAUUAGAUACCCGUGUAGUC
Molecule: ribosomal RNA, 465 nt
Filed under: uncultured Klebsiella sp.
Lineage: Bacteria; Pseudomonadati; Pseudomonadota; Gammaproteobacteria; Enterobacterales; Enterobacteriaceae
Description: bacterial SSU rRNA
Rfam family: Bacterial small subunit ribosomal RNA
Source: RNAcentral